Long non-coding RNA from Dreissena polymorpha, 2560 nucleotides. RefSeq lists it as uncharacterized. The record is from RefSeq and is a predicted model, not a curated record. The transcript is spliced from 3 exons. Lineage: Eukaryota; Metazoa; Mollusca; Bivalvia; Myida; Dreissenidae.
AUAGCCAUUGGGUUUUGCUGGUGGCCCAGCCAAAAACCAAAACUGUUAAUGUUUAUGACUCGCUGGGUGGUGACAACAAGGUUUUCUUUGAGCUUUUCAGAAAGUUCAUGAGCGUCCGGUCCAAUGUUAUGUCUGAUGGAAUGGAUCAGUGGCAUUUUUCAUCAACAACGCAGAACAGACAAACUGAUGGAACAAGCUGUGGCAUCUUUACUUUGAUGAAAGCUGAAUGUCUUGUGAACAAUCUCCCAGCACUGACACUGGGACAGUCGCACGUAGCAUUUUUCCGGAACUAUGUUCGGGGACGUCUGUUGGCCUCUGGGGACAGGCACACAUAUUUAUGUAAUGCCCUGCAGUGUAUUGACCCCAGAGGACAACUUAAGUGGAUGAACUGUGAUGUGUGUGGGCGUUGGGUGCAUGAGAAGUGCAUUGGAACUGGUUUGGACACUGAAGGCUUUCGAUGUGACAUUUGCAAUGUCCAGUACAGUUGAUAAGAUACUGAUUACAGUUGAUACUUCGAAAUAGGCAUUUAUAUAUGAUGGUUUUACAAUCAUAAGUAAGAAUUUGAAAGUGUGUUAAACUUCAUGACUUCAUAAUAAGUAUCAAACUGCUAGUUAGGCAGCAAUGGCGUGUACAUAUUUUAUUUUAUUGUUUUAUUGUGUGUGCUACAGUUUUUAUAUCAAAGUAUAACAGUCUACAGUGUUUCAUUAUUUUCUUGAAAGAAGUUACCGUUACAGCAAGUUGUAACUUAUGAUGUUAUAUUGUUCCAUUGUCAUAUCUAUGUAGAUAUGAUUUUAAGUUGUUUUUGUACUGUUAAUGAUAAUCCGUUUAGAACUACUUAUUGUAAGUCAUCAGCGAAACAUGUGAGUUUUGUAGUGAAGCAAUCAUGAACUUAUAUUUUAAGGGUAAAAUACACAUUGUUGCAUAGUUAUUGCCUGUACAUCAUAUCAUUCAACAAACAGAUGGUUACCGGUAGACCUUAAAGUUUCUGUUUUCUGGUUAAUAAACAACAGUUCAAUAAUUAAAAAAGAAAAAUACUCAAUCACUUGUGUCUUUAUAUUAAACCCAGACAUUUGAUACUAUUAAUAGAAUGUAUUCCUUGAAAAUAUUAUAACAAGAAUCGUUUGAAUGAUUUAUAAAAUAUUUUCCAAAAAAAGUAUCAAAUUGUAGUGAGAAAUUAAGCUCUGUUUAAAUGUUGCUGUUUGGUGUUUAUGUAAAUAUAUGUUACAACAGGGAAUCAUUAAUUCCAUAUAUUUUGUUGCUGUCUGAUAGUACUCUGCCUCUUUUUGUAUUGAAGACAAUACUUUUAAGAGACUUAAUAUUGUUUUAUGUUCAGCCUUAUUAUUUGAAUGCAUUUUUUUUCCACAAGUACCACGCUAUUUUACAGGAAAAGUAUACUUAAAAAUACUCACCAUCUGAUUUUGUUAGUCAUGCCUCUACAUCAUAACUUGACUGUUGUGUUCACAACAAACUUUUUGUUGUUGCUAUUUUCUUAGAAUAUCUAUUAUUAUUUGUUUUAUGAAACAUGUAUUGUUCUGAGGAGACAGUGUAUUAUUAUGACCCCCUUCGAAGAAGAGGGGGUAUAUUGCUUUGCUCAUGUCGGUCUGUCGGUAGGUCUGUCGGUCGGUCGGUCCGUCCACCAGGUGGUUUUCAGACGAUAACUCAAGAACGCUUGGGCCUAGGAUCAUGAAACUUCAUAGGUACAUUGAUCAUGACUCGCAGAUGACCCCUAUUGAUUUUGAGGUCACUAGGUCAAAGGUCAAGGUCCAGUGACCAGAAAUAGUAAAAUGGUUUUUGAAUGAUAACUCAAGAACGCAUACACCUAGGAUCAUGAAACUUCAUGGGUAGAUUUAUCAUGACUUGCAGAUAACCCCUAUUGAUUUUGAGGUCACUAGGUCAAAGGUCAAGGUCAUGGUGACCCGAAAUAGUAAAAUGGCUUCCGGAUGAUAACUCAAGAACGCAUACGCCUAGGAUCAUGAAACUUCAUGGGUAGAUUUGCUUUCAUUGCAUUUUGUUAUUCUAAACCUCUGUUAAUGAUCCAAAUAAUUACAGUGUUUGUUUUUUUUUCAGAAUGACUGACCUUUCAAAAUGUAUGCUGUAUUUUUAUUACAAUUGUUAUUUUCCUUCAUAUCCAAAGAUGCUUAAAAAUUUACACAAAGCAGUUGUUUAUUUAUUGCAAAAAAGAAGUUCAAUUUUCUUCUGCUAAUUAUGUAAUUUCACCACUGUAUUCAAAUGACUUUAAACAAAAAAUUUACUAUGCUGAAAUCAGUUACAAAUGUCUUUAUCCAAAAAAAUAAAAACAAAUAAAAAAACAACAAAUGAAGCAUAUUUUUGAAGUUGUUAAAACAAAAAAGAACAACUUUCUUUUCACCAAACAACGUUAAGAGACUUUGCUUUGUAUAAAUAAUACUCAUAUAAGUCGCCCCGUUGUUAUCAUUAUCAAUUGCAAUGUUAUUAUGUUUAUCUUAAAAUUUGUCAUAUCAGGUGUAUACAGAAUUUAAUGUAGGAACACCUACUUAUUAACAUUUUUGAUCUCCAAUUAAAUUUCAAGAUAUGGACCAUC